ACGGGUGAGUAACACGUGGGUAACCUACCCAUCAGAGGGGGAUAACACUUGGAAACAGGUGCUAAUACCGCAUAACAGUCGACACCGCAUGGUGUUGAUUUGAAAGACGCUUUCGGGUGUCACUGAUGGACGGACCCGCGGUGCAUUAGCUAGUUGGUGAGGUAACGGCUCACCAAGGCCAUGAUGCAUAGCCGACCUGAGAGGGUGAUCGGCCACACUGGGACUGAGACACGGCCCAGACUCCUACGGGAGGCAGCAGUAGGGAAUCUUCGGCAAUGGACGAAAGUCUGACCGAGCAACGCCGCGUGAGUGAAGAAGGUUUUCGGAUCGUAAAACUCUGUUGUUAGAGAAGAACAAGUAGGAGAGUAACUGCUCUUACCUUGACGGUAUCUAACCAGAAAGCCACGGCUAACUACGUGCCAGCAGCCGCGGUAAUACGUAGGUGGCAAGCGUUGUCCGGAUUUAUUGGGCGUAAAGCGAGCGCAGGCGGUUUCUUAAGUCUGAUGUGAAAGCCCCCGGCUCAACCGGGGAGGGUCAUUGGAAACUGGGAGACUUGAGUGCAGAAGAGG
This 569-nucleotide ribosomal RNA is filed under the name uncultured Enterococcus sp. Its description in RNAcentral is "bacterial SSU rRNA". It matches the Rfam family "Bacterial small subunit ribosomal RNA", at positions 102 to 657 of the family's 1533-position model. Lineage: Bacteria; Bacillati; Bacillota; Bacilli; Lactobacillales; Enterococcaceae. The record is from RNAcentral.